GACGAACGCUGGCGGCGUGCUUAACACAUGCAAGUCGAACGGAAAGGCCCUGCUUUUGUGGGGUGCUCGAGUGGCGAACGGGUGAGUAACACGUGAGUAACCUGCCCUUGACUUUGGGAUAACUUCAGGAAACUGGGGCUAAUACCGGAUAGGAGCUCCUGCUGCAUGGUGGGGGUUGGAAAGUUUCGGCGGUUGGGGAUGGACUCGCGGCUUAUCAGCUUGUUGGUGGGGUAGUGGCUUACCAAGGCUUUGACGGGUAGCCGGCCUGAGAGGGUGACCGGCCACAUUGGGACUGAGAUACGGCCCAGACUCCUACGGGAGGCAGCAGUGGGGAAUAUUGCACAAUGGGCGGAAGCCUGAUGCAGCAACGCCGCGUGCGGGAUGACGGCCUUCGGGUUGUAAACCGCUUUCGCCUGUGACGAAGCGUGAGUGACGGUAAUGGGUAAAGAAGCACCGGCUAACUACGUGCCAGCAGCCGCGGUGAUACGUAGGGUGCGAGCGUUGUCCGGAUUUAUUGGGCGUAAAGGGCUCGUAGGUGGUUGAUCGCGUCGGAAGUGUAAUCUUGGGGCUUAACCCUGAGCGUGCUUUCGAUACGGGUUGACUUGAGGAAGGUAGGGGAGAAUGGAAUUCCUGGUGGAGCGGUGGAAUGCGCAGAUAUCAGGAGGAACACCAGUGGCGAAGGCGGUUCUCUGGGCCUUUCCUGACGCUGAGGAGCGAAAGCGUGGGGAGCGAACAGGCUUAGAUACCCUGGUAGUCCACGCUGUAAACGGUGGGUGCUAGGUGUGGGGUCCAUUCCACGGGUUCCGUGCCGUAGCUAACGCUUUAAGUACCCCGCCUGGGGAGUACGGCCGCAAGGCUAAAACUCAAAGGAAUUGACGGGGCCCCGCACAAGCGGCGGAGCAUGCGGAUUAAUUCGAUGCAACGCGUAGAACCUUACCUGGGUUUGACAUGGAUCGGGAGUGCUCAGAGAUGGGUGUGCCUCUUUUGGGGUCGGUUCACAGGUGGUGCAUGGCUGUCGUCAGCUCGUGUCGUGAGAUGUUGGGUUAAGUCCCGCAACGAGCGCAACCCUUGUUCACUGUUGCCAGCACGUUAUGGUGGGGACUCAGUGGAGACCGCCGGGGUCAACUCGGAGGAAGGUGGGGAUGACGUCAAGUCAUCAUGCCCCUUAUGUCCAGGGCUUCACGCAUGCUACAAUGGCUGGUACAGAGAGUGGCGAGCCUGUGAGGGUGAGCGAAUCUCGGAAAGCCGGUCUCAGUUCGGAUUGGGGUUUGCAACUCGACCUCAUGAAGUCGGAGUCGCUAGUAAUCGCAGAUCAGCAACGCUGCGGUGAAUACGUUCCCGGG
Molecule: ribosomal RNA, 1343 nt
Filed under: uncultured bacterium
Lineage: Bacteria
Description: 16S ribosomal RNA
Rfam family: Bacterial small subunit ribosomal RNA
Source: RNAcentral